AUUGAACGCUGGCGGUAUGCCUUACACAUGCAAGUCGAACGGUAACGGGCCUUCAGGUGCCGACGAGUGGCGAACGGGUGAGUAAUACAUCGGAACGUGCCCGAUCGUGGGGGAUAACGAGGCGAAAGCUUUGCUAAUACCGCAUACGAUCUACGGAUGAAAGCAGGGGACCGCAAGGCCUUGCGCGGACGGAGCGGCCGAUGGCAGAUUAGGUAGUUGGUGGGAUAAAAGCUUACCAAGCCGACGAUCUGUAGCUGGUCUGAGAGGAUGAUCAGCCACACUGGGACUGAGACACGGCCCAGACUCCUACGGGAGGCAGCAGUGGGGAAUUUUGGACAAUGGGCGCAAGCCUGAUCCAGCCAUGCCGCGUGCAGGAUGAAGGCCUUCGGGUUGUAAGCUGCUUUUGUACGGAACGAAAAGCCUUCUUUUAAUACAGGAGGGUCAUGACGGUACCGUAAGAAUAAGCACCGGCUAACUACGUG
RNAcentral lists this ribosomal RNA (482 nucleotides) under uncultured bacterium. Its description in RNAcentral is "partial 16S ribosomal RNA". It matches the Rfam family "Bacterial small subunit ribosomal RNA", at positions 30 to 507 of the family's 1533-position model. The record is from RNAcentral.